AGCGGCGGACGAGUGAGUAACGCGUGGGUAACCUGCCCUAUACACAUGGAUAACAUACUGAAAAGUUUACUAAUACAUGAUAAUAUAUAUUUGCGGCAUCGCAGAUAUAUCAAAGUGUUAGCGGUAUAGGAUGGACCCGCGUCUGAUUAGCUAGUUGGUGAGAUAACUGCCCACCAAGGCGACGAUCAGUAGCCGACCUGAGAGGGUGAUCGGCCACAUUGGAACUGAGACACGGUCCAAACUCCUACGGGAGGCAGCAGUGGGGAAUAUUGCACAAUGGGCGAAAGCCUGAUGCAGCAACGCCGCGUGAACGAUGAAGGUCUUCGGAUCGUAAAGUUCUGUUGCAGGGGAAGAUAAUGACGGUACCCUGUGAGGAAGCCCCGGCUAACUACGUGCCAGCAGCCGCGGUAAUACGUAGGGGGCUAGCGUUAUCCGGAUUUACUGGGCGUAAAGGGUGCGUAGGUGGUCCUUCAAGUCGGUGGUUAAAGGCUACGGCUCAACCGUAGUAAGCCGCCGAAACUGGAGAACUUGAGUGCAGGAGAGGAAAGUGGAAUUCCCAGUGUAGCGGUGAAAUGCGUAGAUAUUGGGAGGAACACCAGUAGCGAAGGCGGCUUUCUGGACUGUAACUGACACUGAGGC
Molecule: ribosomal RNA, 639 nt
Filed under: uncultured Peptostreptococcaceae bacterium
Lineage: Bacteria; Bacillati; Bacillota; Clostridia; Peptostreptococcales; Peptostreptococcaceae
Description: bacterial SSU rRNA
Rfam family: Bacterial small subunit ribosomal RNA
Source: RNAcentral